RNAcentral lists this unclassified non-coding RNA (329 nucleotides) under fungal sp. Its description in RNAcentral is "partial internal transcribed spacer region". Lineage: Eukaryota; Fungi. The record is from RNAcentral.
CUGUCAUUUAGAGGAAGUCGCGCAAGCUUUCGAUCGUCUGCAUGGCAGCGGCAAGGUGCGCUAUUUCGGGGUCAGCAAUCAUAGUCCUUAUCAGAUCGAGCUCCUGAAAAGAUAUGUGCGUCAGCCGUUGGUCAUGAAUCAGAUCCAGCUUGGUUUGGGCUAUUGGUAUGUGCAACCGGAAGCAUCGUCCAAAUUAUCAUUCACCCAUGGCGCCGAAGGCGUGCAGACCGUGGAUUACUGCCGCGCCAACGGUAUCCAGGUACAAGCCUACUCACCUUUGCGAUCGGGAAAGGUCACGCGGCUGGGCGCCACUCCGAGCUUGUUGAAGC